UGGAACUGUGGUUGAAGAGUGGUAUGUUUUUGAUCCUUGUUUGUUUUUAGAUGUGCGCAAUGGCAAAUUUCAGGUUAUUCGUCAAAUAACCAAGGUUUCUAUUUCUCUGAUUAAUGCAGUUUAUUUGACAGAUGUGUAAUGCUGUUUGUUGAAAAAUGCAUUAGAACCAAUGAUGGUAAGAUCUUGGCCUAGCAAAUUGGUAAAAUAUUACCUGCUCUUAAUUACUGAAUCAUAUUGUAGGAUAAAAUCUGCUGUUUAUGUAUGAAAAUUUGUACUUUAUCUCUGAUUAUGUGGUAUAUGCCCAGAAUUUCAUUAUUAAUGAUCGAUUCAUUAAAAUUAUUUUUAAUUGUCUACUUUGUUUUGUGUUGCUGCUGCUCAUUCUGC
This 384-nucleotide long non-coding RNA is filed under the name Stegodyphus dumicola. RNAcentral's name for it is "uncharacterized LOC118188301, transcript variant X1". Lineage: Eukaryota; Metazoa; Arthropoda; Arachnida; Araneae; Eresidae. The record is from RNAcentral.